GAUGAAGACGUAGCGAAAUGCGAUAAUUAAUGUGAAUUACAGAAUUCCGUGAAUCAUCGAGUCUUUGAACGCACAUUGCGCCUCAUGGCAUUCCGUGAGGCAUGCCCAUCUCAGCGUUAGAAAAUAUUCUCAAAUUUUAGUUUUGUGCUAAAAUUUGGAUCAUGUCAAGGAAGCUAUUACUAUUAUUGUGAUCGCUCUUUGGAAAUUGAUAGGUCUUUGAGUUGCUACUCAUAGAACGUGAUGAAUCUUUCUUCGUUCUAUUGUAAUUCACUCUGGUAGUCCUAAAACUUGUAUGCCUGUGGCAUAUCUUGUAAUUUGACCUGAGAUUGGGUAGGGAUACCCGCUGAACUUAAGCAUAUCAAUAAGCGGAGGA
This 373-nucleotide unclassified non-coding RNA is filed under the name soil metagenome. RNAcentral's name for it is "partial contains internal transcribed spacer 2 and large subunit ribosomal RNA". The stretch from base 1 to 119 matches the Rfam family "5.8S ribosomal RNA", at positions 35 to 154 of the family's 154-position model. The record is from RNAcentral.